RNAcentral lists this ribosomal RNA (400 nucleotides) under uncultured bacterium. RNAcentral's name for it is "bacterial SSU rRNA". It matches the Rfam family "Bacterial small subunit ribosomal RNA", at positions 356 to 773 of the family's 1533-position model. The record is from RNAcentral.
GGGGAAUAUUGCACAAUGGAGGAAACUCUGAUGCAGCAACGCCGCGUGAGUGAAGAAGGUUUUCGGAUUGUAAAGCUCUGUCAUCUGGGACGAUAAUGACGGUACCAGAUGAGGAAGCCACGGCUAACUACGUGCCAGCAGCCGCGGUAAUACGUAGGUGGCAAGCGUUGUCCGGAAUUACUGGGCGUAAAGGGUGCGCAGGCGGACAUUUAAGUGAGAUGUGAAAGACCCGGGCUUAACUUGGGCAGUGCAUUUCAAACUGGAUGUCUAGAGUGCAGGAGAGGAAAGCAGAAUUCCUAGUGUAGCGGUGAAAUGCGUAGAGAUUAGGAAGAAUACCAGUGGCGAAGGCGGCUUUCUGGACUGUAACUGACGCUGAGGCAUGAAAGCGUGGGGAGCAAAC